RNAcentral lists this long non-coding RNA (10394 nucleotides) under Solanum tuberosum (potato). RNAcentral's name for it is "long non-coding RNA (STUB_LNC002133)". Lineage: Eukaryota; Viridiplantae; Streptophyta; Magnoliopsida; Solanales; Solanaceae. The record is from RNAcentral.
AAAAUACCCUUCAUAAUUAUGCUGGAAAAGAUGUAAAAAAGAUUUUUGAGGGGUAAUAUGGUGUUUAACUAUGUUAAUGCCUGCAUUAAAACCCCCUGCAUUACUAAUACAAAAAUAUUUCAUGUAUUAAUCACACACACAUCAAUACACACUAGAGUAAAAUAUUAGUUAUACAUACAUAUAUCAUAAUAUAUCAGAAAUGGGAGAUGGAAGAUGGCUCGAGAGGGAUUUGUAGUUAUUAAUCAAUCUAAUGUGUGUAUUAAAAUAAGGGAAAGGUUCAAAUAUGUCAUCGAACUUUGGAAAAAGGCUGAUCUAUGUCAUCCGUUAAAAAUUUGGCUCACUAUGUCAUUUCCAUUUAAGAAAAGGCUCACCCAUGCCAUUAUUUGUUAAUAGAAAACAAUUUGAUUAUGCAAAUUCAUUUUUUACAUGUGAUCAAUUAUGAUUCGGCCAUGUCAUUAAUUAAAUUAUUUUCUUUAAAAAAAAGGCUCAAAUACGCUAUCAAACUUUGAGAAAAGGUUCAUCUAUGUCAUAUGUUAAAAGUUUGGCUCAUCAUUUCCAUUUGAGAAAAGACGCAUCCAUACUAUUAUUUGUUAAUAGAAAAUGAUUUCGAUUUUGCAAAUUCAUUUUUUACAUGUGGUCAACUAUGAUUUUGGCCACAUCAUUAUUUAUUUAUUUUUUAAAAGAAAAAAAGACCAAAUAUGUCAUCGAACUUUGAAAAAAGGCUCAUUUAUGUCAUUCGUUAAAAAUUUAGCUCGUCUAUGCCAUUUCAAUUAACAAAUAUAGCAUGGACAAACCUUUUCUCAAACAUAAAUAAUAUAGAUGACUCAAAUUUUUAUCGGACUACAUAAAUGACCCUUUUAUCUCAAAAUUUAAUACUAGCAUAUUUGAGCCUUCUCCUAAUACAAUGCAUUAUUAUAUUAUAUUAUAGACUAAAAAAGUGUAGGAAGGUACUAAUAUUACAAGUUCACAACCCAGUCUUACCUGUUAAUUGAUGGAAAAAAGAAGGUGGUAAGUUACCUUAACACUGUUACUCUGUCCCAAUUUAUGUGAUUUACUUUCCUUUUUAGUCAGUCCCAAAAAGAAUGACACAUUUCUAUAUUAAGUAACAAUUUGACUAUAAAAUGUCUAUUUUAUUCUUAAUGAAAUGAUUUACAGCCACACAAAUUUCUAUCUUUCAUUUUGGACCACAAAUUUUUAAAAUCUUCCUUUCUUUUUUAAACUCCGUGCCAAAUCAAAGUACCUCACAUAAAAUGGGACGGAUGGAGUAAGAUUUUUUAAGGGUAAGUGCACUUCACCUAAGUUUUUCAUCUCCGGCAAACAAAAUUUCCCCUUGUUUGUUCAAGAACCCGAUCGUGAUAUCGUUGUUUUCCCCCAAAAUUAUCAAACUCUAAUUUAUAGUUAGUGCAAUCAGAGUAAGAAAAGGAUCUGCGGAAAGGAAUUUUGUUGAAGAAACCGUUGAAUUCCAGCAAUGGAGAUCUUAUAAACCUUUGAGUUCCAUUGUGCAUUGAUGAAGAAGAUCGGUUAAUGACAAAACUUUCAAGUUCUAUUUAUGGGCAAAUGAUAGCAGGGAUUGAAACAAAACAAGUUUUAAGGUACUCUCCAGGUAUCGGCCGUUCAUUAUUGUUCCCAAAUUACUAGUAAUUAAAAUUGAUAAAACUUAAUUAGUAUAUUUUGUCCCUUUCCUCUGGAUUAUACCUAAUAUAAUUGUUUUACUAUGUUGACAAAUUAACUAGGGAAACAAAUAAAAAUGAUACUUAUUUGGGUUUCGAAAAAUUCAUAAUUUCUUUAUCAAUUUUAAAUUUCAGUAGCUGAGAUGUCUUCAAAUUGGGUAGCAGCUCAAGUAACUCGGUAAGCAGUUUUUCUCUGUGGAUGUAGUUCAUACAUGUCUAUCUAAUUGCCUUUGGAAAUUAUAAUCUGAAUUGAGUUUAUCUAAUCUGAUUGCAACUGUAUUUUAUGUUGUAUUUGUUUCGUCCUUGUUAGUCCCAUUUAUUUCUGGGAUUAUGGUGAUUGAGAUUGAGAUUAUGGUGAAUAUUGGUCCAUCUCGGUUGGACUCACCUACUUAGCUUAGGUUUUACCUCAGUGCCAGAUUGAAUGACUUGCUGCAGUUUGGAGAUUGUAUUAAAAGUUAUAAGUAUGUGAAUAGAGGAAAAUGUUAUUAAGUAGUAAUAUUGUAGCGCAGUUUGAUCUUCUGUAGAUAGAAACUCUGAUUUUAGGGCAAGCAAUAUAGCAAUUGCAAUGCCCCCCAAAAGAAAGAACAAGUGUUUGAGUCACAGGGAGUCUCAAUAAACCUUUCGGAAGAAAGAAAAUCCAAUUUGCUUUUAUUUUCCCCCUGUAUGCCCUCCUUAUGUGCUGUUGCGUUAUAUCUUUUAUAUUUUGUCCAUUUAUUCAUCUCUUUGUUUUCUGAAUGUUCUGAAGUGAGACAGAAAAAAAUGACUUAGACUCUUAAGUUCAAAUGAGAACCGAUAUGUAGUGGUUUUGUGUUAGAGCAUUAUUGAUCUAAACAAAGCAAUUAAAAUAUCACCAUGUGUCAUGUGGCAUGCUGGAUAUGUGUAAUUGCCAAUCCUGUUUUUUUUUAAAGUCAGUGUUGUAAAAAGCUUUUAAGAGAAGCCAGGCGUGGGUCUUGCGCUUCAGAUGGCUCCUUCUCUUCUGCAAUAUCCCUACUGCUUGCAACUUCUUUUUUCUUCUUUCUCUUCUUCUCUUCUCUGUUUCGAUAUCUUUUUUUUUCUCGCCUAUCUCCAUUGAAAGUUUAGCACCACAUCUUGUUACACAAUUGACUAGUAAGUUCUCUUCCUUUUCUUAAUUAAUGUCUUUAGUUACGGUAAUAUUAAAGACCUUUAAAUCCAUAAACUAAUCAUACCUGAAACACACUCCUAAGUAAGGAUGAAUUCCUGGUCACUAGCUCCAUUCAUUCCAUAAUUUCAAAGGAACUAAUGAUCCUCAUUGUUAUUAACUUAUUAUUCUGUGAGUUGCUUGGUGGUUUUUUAGUGGAAAUGACUUAAUUCUAGAGGCAGUUUCCAUGCACUAACAUCUCUGUUUUGGCAAUUGUUGGGACAGGUAUAAUUCUUAUUCAGAGUGACACUUUGGACCUUCUUAGAUAUCGUGAUGCUGGAAGAUAAAGGUUGGGAAGAUCCUCGUUCCGUUAAUAGCCCUAGGAGGAUCUUGAGUUUUUCCAAGAAUAGGAAGGCCACUGUGUUCUUUCCAGACCCAGACGACAGAGAUUCAGGUUUUGGUGUUUCUGGAGAUCAGGGACCCAAGACUUUUGAAGUUUACGGAUUUGUUGGCUCCAUUACUACUGUUGUUGCUACAGGUCUACCCAUCCUCAUCUUUAAGAAGCUUAGUCUGUUAUUUAGAACAUAUCCCUAUGUUUGAAUAUUCAAUGUUUUCUUCUGAUAUCAUAGUUUGGAAUACAGUUGAAUUGUUAGUAUUAUAAUGUGAUGUGAUUUUCUUCCUUGGUAAUGCUCAUCAUGACAUGAAAGUUACUUAUUCUUAUCUUUUGGUUAGACUCCUUGGCCUUCCUGGAAAUGCUUGUGCCCAGGCAUCACCAGUAUCUGGAUAUAGGGCAGAGUAUGCUAAUUGAUUUUUCUUGGGAGUUGAAAUGACAAGGCUGUUGAAAUCUCUGGAUAUAUUACUCUGCAAAUAUUGAAAACAGAUGCAAAUACUAAUUUUUGAUUUGUCUGCAAGAUGUCGUCUGUUGUAAAGUAUUGAGCUCUCAUAUUUUGUAUGUAUAAUUGCUUUGCUUUAACCUUUCCACUGGUAUUCCAGCGGUCACAACAUUCAUUUGAUUUCAUGCAUACGAAAGUCUGAUUGGUUUCUAUUAUUUUCAAUGAGGAGUUCUUUUUCUGGUGUGGGCAUAUCUUCCUGAACAUUGGUUGCACUCUUUGGGAAUUGUUUACUAUCCAAGCAGGUAAAGAAGAUGUACUUGCAGGCUUGUGUCAUCUUUACAUCUUGUCUCUAAAAAGAUCCCUUUUUAAAUUAGGAGAUAAUAUGAAUUUCAUAGUUUCAAAUUUACUUAGCUGGUUUGUCUGAGACACCAGAGCAAGAAGCUGGUUAGUGUAUUCCAGCUACCUAAGCUGGGCUUAGUUUAUUCCAAUUUUUGGAUCUAUAAUGGCAUUUGGUUGUUCUGAACAAACAUCUUGAAAAGAGGAGGCACAAAUUUUUAAUUGAUAAGCCCUUUAGUUGCAUUUCAGAAAUUGAUAUAUAUUGGUCCUACAUUUCAGAAAUUACAAGUGCAUGAAAGCAACUUAAAGCAUUUGCAGAAUGCUCAAGAUGAAAAACUGCUAGUAUGGGCAUCUGGCUAGUAAAAUGGGUUCGGAGUACCUUGCAGAACUGCUGUCAAAGGUAUACUUAUAGUUCUUUUCAUGUAAGGAGUUCCUAACUAAGUUGAGCAGAGUUCAUAUUCAGAUUGUUUCCAUUUCAGCACUUGGAACAAUUUAUUAAGGCAAGAAUACCAAGUAUCACAUCACUUAUCAAUAAAAGCAUAGAUGAACUUGAAUCGGAACUGGACCACCUUGGAAGGCCUAUUGCUGUUGAUGCAGGCGUAAGCUUCGACUUCUAUAUCUAUCGUUGCUACUGUUGAUCGAGAGAUUUUCCUUUAUCUUAGUAACUGAACUGGUCUAUUUCAGGCUCAACUGUAUACUAUUUUGGAACUUUGCCGUGCUUUUGAUAAGAUAUUUAAGGAGCAUCUAGAUGGAGGGUAAGUGGAUUGUUUUCUUUUUUCCCUUAAUUUUCCAAAUCUAACUUUCAUUAUCGUAAGCACUUCAAAAAAUCCAAAGGAACCAUAGUGGAAAACCAUAAAGCACAAAGGAACUUGAAAUACAAGGGAGGGAUUUGGCAUAGGCUGAAAAGAGACCACCAAAUGUGACUAGUACCCAUAAAACACAAAGAAUUUGAAGAAACUUCACUCAUGAGAACUUGUAAAAAAAAAAAAAAAGAUGUACCCAUUAAACUCAAGGAAUUGGCAAACAUUUCAGUAGACAUGUGACACUCGUCUACCUUGUCUGUAAAUGCUUGUACUGAUUUAAGAUGAACUUCCAGUUUAUUGCUCUGCACCUAGACUAUAUAUAACAUGAAUUUAUCUCUUUUUGUUAAUCAGUCGACCUGGUGGUGAUCGAAUUUAUGGAGUGUUUGACAACCAACUACCUGCUGCUUUGAGAAAACUCCCGUUUGACCGAUAUCUCUCUGUGCAAAAUGUGAGGAAUGUUGUUUCAGAGGCAGAUGGUUACCAGCCUCACUUGAUAGCACCUGAGCAAGGUUAUAGACGUCUAAUUGAAGGGGCCUUAAAUUAUUUUAGAGGCCCAGCUGAAGCCUCUGUUGAUGCUGUAAGUAAGGGGGGAAAGCCAGAAGCUUCUGCUGCCGUAGACCGGUAUGGAGAGGGUCACUUUCGUCGGAUAGGUUCAAAUGUAUCAUCAUAUGUAAAUAUGGUGUCUGAUACAUUGAGGAACACACUCCCCAAAGCAGUGGUUUAUUGUCAAGUUAAGGAGGCCAAACAAUCUUUGUUGAACUACUUCUACACUCAGAUUGGGAAGAAAGAGGUACUAUCUCAGUGUUCAUCCCGAAUUAGCAGUUUUUUUUAUAGUACAAGUGCUGACGGUUGUUUAUAUUUCUCAGGGCAAGGCACUUUCAGAAUUGUUAGAUGAAGAUCCUGCAUUGAUGGAGAGAAGAAUGCAAUGUGCCAAGAGGCUUGAACUGUACAAGAAAGCAAGAGAUGAGAUUGAUUCUGUAGCGUGGGUACGAUGAUUGCACUUUAAGAGACACCUUUCUUCUACGAUACAACAAAUUCACGACUUGGAUGAAUCAAUAUCGCUGCUUGUUCGAACAUUUUAACAGCCUAAAUUCUUUGAUUGUUGUAGUCAUAUUAUUUGGUUUGGAUGAAUUGUUGCUUUAUUAUGUAUUUGUGAACUGAGUUAAUACCACAUUCAGUUGUCCUUUUGCUCAGGCUGCUGCUCCAUUUUUGUACUUGUACCUUUUACUGCUUAUGGACUUGGAUAAAGAAAUGAUGUAGAAAUAUGGCGUCUUUAAACAGUAAACUUCUUCUAAAACCAAUGAGCAAAGAAAAACACUCAAAUACCAGAACCAUUAUGAACUUGUCAAUUUGAUCUUUUUCCCUAACAGUAAUAUACCCUUGCUAACCAGUAUAUUAGUUUUUCUGUACUACACAGAGGAAAGCAAAUGGACGAUUGUGAAAAAAGCCACAUCUAAAUUACAUUUAAUGUCAAGUACCUGAAUUGGGUGAAUCAAAGAGAUACACUGAUAAAUGAAGGAAAUGAAACUGAUACAAUCUAUCCAAGCAAAAUAACUGCACAGUAAAAUUAUUUCUUAUCUUGGAUUGAACAUAAGGUCAUUUAUUUGAUCAAUCCGAAUAUCAGAUAUAGGCUCUAUAGGUUGCUCAUCAUUGUCUGUUGAAGGCACGUUGCGCAAAGGUUCUCUUGUGAAUUCAUCUGCAGAAUAGAUAGAAAGAAAACAUUACGAGCUCAAUCCCAUGAUUAUGUAAAAACAACUACUAAAAAUUAAAUUUGGGUAUUGCAUGCUUCAAGAGUCAAGACAGAAACGCUAGGAAAAUCCUUUCUACUGUCAUUGCCAGAAAGUCAAGUAACAAUUACCAUAUAUCAUGCUGAAAGAAGUUGGAGGAGGGGUAGCCAAGAAGUUGAGACCAAUGUAAAAUCCUACAGCUAGUGAUAUAGUCAUCAUCGCAUAAGCUGGCGCAGCUAAUGCCCAGUACCUGAUAAAACCAAGAACAAUUUAACAAGAUGUUAAAUAUAUCAUGUGACAAUUAGUAAGUGACCAGCUAAGUUCUGCCAAGAAUUUUUUUUUCAUCUUGAGCAUUCUGCAAAUGCUUUAAGUUGCUUUCAUGCACUUGUAAUUUCUGAAAUGUAGGACCAAUAUAUAUCAAUUUCUGAAAUGCAACUAAAGGGCUUAUCAAUUAAAAAUUUGAGCCUCCUCUUUUCAAGAUGUUUGUUCAAAACAACCAAAUGCCAUUAUAGAUCCAGAAAUUGGAAUAAAAUAAGCCCAACUUAGGUAGCUGGAAUACACUAACCAGCUUCUGGUGUCUCAGACAAACCAGCUAAGUAAAUUUGAAACUAUGAAAUUCAUAUUAUCUCCUAAUUUAAAAAGGGAUCUUUUUAGAGACAAGAUAUAAAGAUGACACAAGCCUGCAAGUACAUCUUCUUUACCUGCUUGGAUAGUAAACAAUUCCCAAAGAGUGCAACCAAUGUUCGGGGAGAUAUGCCCACACCAGAAAAAGAACUGCUCAUUGAAAAUAAUAGAAACCAAUCAGACUUCCGUAUGCAUGAAAUCAAAUGAAUGUUGUGACCACUGGAAUACCAGUGGAAUUAGGUUAAAGCAAAGCAGCUAUACAUACAAAAUAUGAGAGCUCAAUACUUUACAACAGACGACAUCUUGCAGACAAAUCAAAAAUUAGUAUUUGCAUCUGUUUUCAAUAUUUGCAGAGUAAUAUAUCCAGAGAUUUCAACAGCCUUGUCAUUUCAACUCCCAAGAAAAAUCAAUUAGCAUACUCUGCCCGCCCUUCAUAAUUAUGCUGGAAAAGAUGUAAAAAAGAUUUUUGAGGGGUAAUAUGGUCUUUAACUAUGUUAAUGCCUGCAUUAAAACCCCCUACAUUACUAAUACAAAAAAAAUUCAUGUAUUAAUCACACACACAUCAAUACACACUAGAGUAAAAUAUUAGUUAUACAUACACAUAUCAUAAUAUAUCAGAAAUGGGAGAUGGAAGAUGGCUAGGAAGGCCAAGGAGUCUAACCAAAAGAUAAGAAUAAGUAACUUUCAUGUCAUGAUGAUCAUUACCAAGGAAGAAAAUCACAUCACAUUAUAAUACUAACAAUUCAACUGUAUUCCAAACUAUGAUAUCAGAAGAAAACAUUGAAUAUUCAAACAUAGAGAUAUGUUCUAAAUAACAGACUAAGCUUCUUAAAGAUGAGGAUGGGUAGACCUGUAGCAACAACAGUAGUAAUGGAGCCAACAAAUCCGUAAACUUCAGAAGUCUUGGGUCCCUGAUCUCCAGAAACACCAAAGCCUGAAUCUCUGUCGUCUGGGUCUGGAAAGAACACAGUGGCCUUCCUAUUCUUGGAAAAACUCAAGAUCCUCCUAGGGCUAUUAACGGAACGAGGAUCUUCCCAACCUUUAUCUUCCAGCAUCACGAUAUCUAAGAAGGUCCAAAGUGUCACUCUGAAUAAGAAUUAUACCUGUCCCAACAAUUGCCAAAACAGAGAUGUUAGUGCAUGGAAACUGCCUCUAGAAUUAAGUCAUUUCCAGAAAAAAACCAUUUGAGAAAAGACCCAUCCAUACUAUUAUUUGUUAAUAGAAAACGAUUCCGAUUUUGCAAAUUCAUUUUUUACAUGUGGUCAAUUAUGAUUUCGGCCACAUCAUUAUUUAUUUAUUUUUUAAAAAGAAAAAAAGCCCAAAUAUGUCAUCGAACUUUGAAAAAAGACUCAUUUAUGCCAUUCGUUAAAAAUUUGGCUCGUCUAUGCCAUUUCAAUUAACAAAUAUGGCAUGGAUAAACCUUUUCUCAAACAUAAAUAAUAUAGAUGACUCAAAUUUUUAUCGGACUACAUAAAUGAUCCCCUUUUAUCUCAAAAUUUAAUACUAGCAUGUUUGAGCCUUCUCUUAAUACAAUGCAUUAUUAUAUUAUAUUAUAGACUAAAAAAAGUGUAGGAAGGUACUAAUAUUACAAGUUCACAACCCAGUCCUUACCUGUUAAUUGAUGGAAAAAAGAAAAAGGUGGUAAGUUACCUUAACACUGUUACUCUGUCCCAAUUUAUGUGAUUUACUUUUCUUUUUAGUCAGUCCCAAAAAGAAUGACACAUUUCUAUAUUAAGUAACAAUUUGACUAUAAAAUGUCUAUUUUACCCUUAAUGAAAUGAUUUACAGCCACACAAAUUUCUAUCUUUCAUUUUGGACCACAAAAUUUUAAAAUCUUCCUUUCUUUUUUAAAUUCCGUGCCAAAUCAAAGUACCUCACAUAAAAUGGGACGGAUGGAGUAAGAUUUUUUAAGGGUAAGUGCACUUCACCUAAGUUUUUCAUCUCCGGCAAACAAAAUUUCCCCUUGUUUGUUCAAGAACCCGAUCGUGAUAUCGUUGUUUUCCCCCAAAAUUAUCAAACUGUAAUUUAUAGUUAGUGCAAUCAAAGUAAGAAAAGGAUCUGCGGAAAGGAAUUUUGUUGAAGAAACCGUUGAAUUCUUGCAAUGGAGAUCUUAUAAACCUUUGAGUUCCAUUGUGCAUUGAUGAAGAAGAUCGGUUAAUGACAAAACUUUCAAGUUCUAUUUAUGGGCAAAUGAUAGCAGGGAUUGAAACAAAACAAUUUUUAAGGUACUCUCCAGGUAUCGGCCGUUCAUUAUUGUUCCCAAAUUACUAGUAACUAAAAUUGAUAAAACUUAAUUAGUAUAUUUUGUCUCUUUCCUCUGGAUUAUACCUAAUAUAAUUGUUUUACUAUGUUGACAAAUUAACUAGCGCAGUUUGAUCUUCUUUAGAUAGAAACUCUGAUUUUUAGGGCAAGCAAUAUAGCAAUUGCAAUGCCCCCUAAAAGAAAGAACAAGUGUUUGAGUCACAGGGAGUCUCAAUAAACCUUUCAGAAGAAAGAAAAAAAUAAAAUCCAAUUUGCUUUUCUUUUCCCCCUGUAUGCCCUCCUUAUGUACUGCUGCGUUAUAUCUUUUAUAUUUUGUCCAUUUAUUCAUCUCUUUGUUUUCUGAAUGUUCUGAAGUGAGACAAAAAAAAAUGACUUAGACUCUUACGUUCAAAUGAGAACCGAUAUGUAGUGGUUUUGUGUUAGAGCAUUGUUGAUCUAAACAAAGCAAUUAAAAUAUCACCAUGUGUCAUGUGGCAUUCUGGAUAUGUGUAAUUGCCAAUCUUGUUUUUUAUUAAAGUCAGUGUUGUAAAAAGCCUCGCUUUAAGCUUUGAAGAGAAGCCAGGCGUGGGUCUUGCGCUUCAGAUGGCUCCUUCUCUUCUGCAAUAUCCCUACUGCUUGCAACUUCUUUUUUCUUCUUUCUCUUCUUCUCUUCUCUGUUUCGAUAUUUUAUUUUUUUUCUCGCCUAUCUCCAUUGAAAGUUUAGCACCACAUCUUGUUACACAAUUGACUAGUAAGUUCUCUUCCUUUUCUUAAUUAAUGUCUUUAGUUACGGUAAUAUUAAAGACCUUUAAAUCCAUAAACUAAUCAUACCUGAAACAUACUCCUAAGUAAGGAUGAAUUCCUGGUCACUAGCUCCAUUCAUUCCAUAAUUUCAAAGGAACUAAUGAUCCUCAUUGUUAUUAACUUAUUAUUCUGUGAGUUGCUUGGUGGUUUUUUUUCUGGAAAUGACUUAAUUCUAGAGGCAGUUUCCAUGCACUAACAUCUCUGUUUUGGAAAUUGUUGGGACAGGUAUAAUUCUUAUUCAGAGUGACAGUAAUGGA